This 72-nucleotide transfer RNA is filed under the name Loricariichthys castaneus. RNAcentral's name for it is "tRNA-Pro". It matches the Rfam family "tRNA". Rfam says of the family: Transfer RNA (tRNA) molecules are approximately 80 nucleotides in length. The record is from RNAcentral. Lineage: Eukaryota; Metazoa; Chordata; Actinopteri; Siluriformes; Loricariidae.
CAGAAAAUAGUUUAAUUUUUAGAAUUCUAGCUUUGGGAGUUAGUGGUAAGAGUUGAAAUCUCUUUUUUCUGG